AGUGAACGCUGGCGGUAGGCCUAACACAUGCAAGUCGAACGGCAGCACAGUAAGAGCUUGCUCUUACGGGUGGCGAGUGGCGGACGGGUGAGGAAUACAUCGGAAUCUACUUUUUCGUGGGGGAUAACGGAGGGAAACUUACGCUAAUACCGCAUACGACCUACGGGUGAAAGCAGGGGAUCUUCGGACCUUGCGCGAUUGAAUGAGCCGAUGUCGGAUUAGCUAGUUGGCGGGGUAAAGGCCCACCAAGGCGACGAUCCGUAGCUGGUCUGUGAGGAUGAUCAGCCACACUGGAACUGAGACACGGUCCAGACUCCUACGGGAGGCAGCAGUGGGGAAUAUUCGACAAUGGGCGCAAGCCUGAUCCAGCCAUACCGCGUGAGUGAAGAAGGCCUUCGGGUUGUAAAGCCCUUUUGUUGGGAAAGAAAGGCAGCAGGUUAAUACCCCGCUGUUCUGACGGUACCCAAAGAAUAAGCACCGGCUAACUUCGUG
Molecule: ribosomal RNA, 492 nt
Filed under: uncultured bacterium
Lineage: Bacteria
Description: partial 16S ribosomal RNA
Rfam family: Bacterial small subunit ribosomal RNA
Source: RNAcentral